RNAcentral lists this ribosomal RNA (477 nucleotides) under uncultured bacterium. RNAcentral's name for it is "partial 16S ribosomal RNA". It matches the Rfam family "Bacterial small subunit ribosomal RNA", at positions 355 to 824 of the family's 1533-position model. The record is from RNAcentral.
UGGGGAAUUUUGGACAAUGGGCGAAAGCCUGAUCCAGCAAUGCCGCGUGUGUGAAGAAGGCCUUCGGGUUGUAAAGCACUUUUGUCCGGAAAGAAAUCCUUGGCUCUAAUACAGUCGGGGGAUGACGGUACCGGAAGAAUAAGCACCGGCUAACUACGUGCCAGCAGCCGCGGUAAUACGUAGGGUGCAAGCGUUAAUCGGAAUUACUGGGCGUAAAGCGUGCGCAGGCGGUUUGCUAAGACCGAUGUGAAAUCCCCGGGCUCAACCUGGGAACUGCAUUGGUGACUGGCAGGCUAGAGUAUGGCAGAGGGGGGUAGAAUUCCACGUGUAGCAGUGAAAUGCGUAGAGAUGUGGAGGAAUACCGAUGGCGAAGGCAGCCCCCUGGGCCAAUACUGACGCUCAUGCACGAAAGCGUGGGGAGCAAACAGGAUUNGAUACCCUGGUAGUCCACGCCCUAAACGAUGUCAACUAGUUGUU